This 468-nucleotide ribosomal RNA is filed under the name uncultured bacterium. RNAcentral describes it as "partial 16S ribosomal RNA". It matches the Rfam family "Bacterial small subunit ribosomal RNA", at positions 28 to 507 of the family's 1533-position model. The record is from RNAcentral.
GACGAACGCUGGCGGCGUGCUUAACACAUGCAAGUCGAACGGAAAGGCCCUGCUUUUGUGGGGUGCUCGAGUGGCGAACGGGUGAGUAACACGUGAGUAACCUGCCCUUGACUUUGGGAUAACUUCAGGAAACUGGGGCUAAUACCGGAUAGGAGCUCCUGCUGCAUGGUGGGGGUUGGAAAGUUUCGGCGGUUGGGGAUGGACUCGCGGCUUAUCAGCUUGUUGGUGGGGUAGUGGCUUACCAAGGCUUUGACGGGUAGCCGGCCUGGGAGGGUGACCGGCCACAUUGGGACUGGGAUACGGCCCAGACUCCUACGGGAGGCAGCAGUGGGGAAUAUUGCACAAUGGGCGGAAGCCUGAUGCAGCAACGCCGCGGGCGGGAUGACGGCCUUCGGGUUGUAAACCGCUUUCGCCUGUGACGAAGCGUGAGUGACGGUAAUGGGUAAAGAAGCACCGGCUAACUACGUG